UUCCUUGACUAAAACAAGAUAAUGAGA
Molecule: unclassified non-coding RNA, 27 nt
Filed under: Mus musculus (house mouse)
Lineage: Eukaryota; Metazoa; Chordata; Mammalia; Rodentia; Muridae
Description: oocyte_clustered_small_RNA10652
Source: RNAcentral